This 70-nucleotide transfer RNA is filed under the name Ferrimonas sediminicola. Its description in RNAcentral is "Ferrimonas sp. IMCC35001 tRNA-Met". The record is from RNAcentral. Lineage: Bacteria; Pseudomonadati; Pseudomonadota; Gammaproteobacteria; Alteromonadales; Ferrimonadaceae.
GCCCCUUAGCUCAGUUGGUUAGAGCAGGCGACUCAUAAUCGCUUGGUCGUGGGUUCUUAAGUGGUAUGCA